RNAcentral lists this ribosomal RNA (533 nucleotides) under Aspergillus sydowii. Its description in RNAcentral is "SSU rRNA". It matches the Rfam family "Eukaryotic small subunit ribosomal RNA", at positions 193 to 726 of the family's 1831-position model. The record is from RNAcentral. Lineage: Eukaryota; Fungi; Ascomycota; Eurotiomycetes; Eurotiales; Aspergillaceae.
GGAGUGGGAGGUAUUUAUUAGAUAAAAAACCAAUGCCCCUCGGGGCUCCUUGGUGAAUCAUAAUAACUUAACGAAUCGCAUGGCCUUGCGCCGGCGAUGGUUCAUUCAAAUUUUUGCCCUAUCAACUUUUGAUGGUAGGAUAGUGGCCUACCAUGGUGGCAACGGGUAACGGGGAAUUAGGGUUCGAUUCCGGAGAGGGAGCGUGAGAAACGGUUACCACAUCCAAGGAAGGCAGCAGGCGCGCAAAUUACCCAAUCCCGACACGGGGAGGUAGUGACAAUAAAUACUGAUACGGGGCUGUUUUGGGUCUCGUAAUUGGAAUGAGAACAAUCUAAACCCCUUACCGAGGAACAAUUGGAGGGCAAGUCUGGUGCCAGCAGCCGCGGUAAUUCCAGCUCCAAUAGCGUAUAUUAAAGUUGUUGCAUUUAAAAAGCUUGUAGUUGAACCUUGGGUCUGGCUGGCCGGUCCGCCUCCCCGCGAGUACUGGUCCGGCUGGACCUUUCCUUCCUGAGUCAUUGAAAGGGGCACAGUGG